CAAUAGCGUAUAUUAAAGUUGUUGCGGUUAAAAAGUUCGUAGUUGGAUUUCUGCCAAGGACGACCGGUCCGCCCUCUGGGUGAGUAUCUGGCUUGGCCUGGGCAUCUUCUUGGAGAACGUUGCUGCGCUUCACUGCGUGGUGCGGUAUCCAGGACUUUUACUUUGAGGAAAUUAGAGUGUUUCAAGCAGGCUUCCGCCUUGAAUACAUUAGCAUGGAAUAAUAAGAUAGGACUUCGGUCUAUUUUGUUGGUUGCGAACCGAGGUAAUGAUUAAUAGGGAUAGUUGGGGGUAUUCAUAUUUAAUUGUCAGAGGUGAAAUUCUUGGAUUUAUGAAAGAUGAACAACUGCGAAANCANNNACCAAGGAUGUUUUCAUNAA
Molecule: ribosomal RNA, 377 nt
Filed under: uncultured eukaryote
Lineage: Eukaryota
Description: partial 18S ribosomal RNA
Rfam family: Eukaryotic small subunit ribosomal RNA
Source: RNAcentral